Long non-coding RNA from Gorilla gorilla gorilla (western lowland gorilla), 1793 nucleotides. RefSeq lists it as uncharacterized. NCBI's taxonomy places the organism in Eukaryota, Metazoa, Chordata, Mammalia, Primates, Hominidae. The transcript has 7 exons. The record is from RefSeq and is a predicted model, not a curated record.
GGAGGGUUGAGAGUGAAGGAACAGGGUGUGAGAUAAACUGGGGAGUACUCGGGCAGGGGCCAGGCUGCCUGGAGGAUAUGGGAGCGUGUAUGGCUCUGGGGCUGUGGCACUGCAAAGUGGAAGGCCCAGCUGCCUUUUUGUGACAGACGGAGGAGGCGUUUUCAAAGUGAUGACAAUGUUUCUGAACAGGAAAGUGGGUCUCUUCUUCUUCCCCAACAGUCUUAGAGCAUCUAAAAAUAAAGCAGGCAUCAAGAGAGCAUCCCAGCAGUGCCAUCACAACACAGGGCUCGAAUGUGGACAGGAGGAGGACCUAAGUGGACCCGGAGGCUGAGCUGGCCUCGCAGCACUGGUGGUGGGGGAGGGCUGAUGGUCAGGACUCUGGGUCUUUGGCACUGCUGCCUGGGCUGUGGCCCUCAGUCUGCCCAUCUGUGAAAUGAGGGGGAGCUGGUCCUGACUACCUCCCAGGGACCCUGUGAAAAGCCGCUCUGAACUCCUUGCCAGAGAGGAGGUUUGCCGGUGCCACAAUCCAGGUCUGUGGGUUUCCCUAUCAAGCUGGUCUUUCUGUAAUAGGCAGUGAGACAAAGGAUUUUGGGGUCCCCACUAUGAUGUAAACCCUGUGCUGGGUGGGGUAGGGGUUCAGAAGCAGAAGUUGUGUUUUCAGCAUCAGGGAGCUCUAGUGGAGAGACAAGAUUCGUGCAUGAAAUAAUUACGACUGUUGUAGAGAAAAGAAAAGCCUGUAGGUCUCCCUUCCUCCCUCCUUCUCUCUGUCUACCUCAGCAUUUCUGGGGUUCACUCUGCUCUGGGUACUGUGUAAAGGACUCCACAGCCAUCAACUUCCCUUCAUCCUUGCUGCAUCUUUGAAAGAGCUGAGAUUUCUUUACAUCACAGUGGUUCAAGGAGAAAAACACAGCCAGAUCCUUCCUCAUCUCAACAUAAAUUAAACCCAGAGGCAGUCAGCGCCACAGUCCACACUCGUAACUGUUACACUCACCUGGAAAUAAAAGUAUUUUUGUGCGGGGACUGCAAGGACUAAGCCCGGCCGCACUCCGAGUCUCUCCUCCUCACAGAUAGGGGCUGAGGCUCAGAGAGGGCAAGUGACCUGCCCAAAGUCACACAGCCAUGACUCAUUGCUCAGGUGAGGAAACUGAGGCUCAGAGAGGGUCCGUGGCAUGUCCAAGGUCACUCCGCUGAGGCAAGGAACUAUGUGAGCCACUCCAGUGUUCCCAGCCCCAAGGCCAGGCACAGUGGACAUUUAUUGCUGAAUGAAUGAAUCAAGAGAGAGGAUCAGAAAGCUGCAGAGGAUGAUAGAUCUGCAAAAUUCUGCCUGGGUGAGGCCCAGGCUCAGCUUCCAGAACAGCUCCAUCUGUCUCCCACUCACUGAGAUUGAACUAAUGUCCCACAGUUGCACAGACCUGAAAUUGAGCUAUGUGAUCUUGGUUACCUGCCCCUCUGCUGGAGAUUCUGCAUGUCUGAGGUGCCAGCCAUUGUCAGAAACUGGGCUAUGUUCUCUCCUUUCAUCGUGCCAUUUCAUUCUCACCCCAAAAUGAAAACACACAAAAAAAUCACUUUCUUCCCAAAGAGAAUCCUGUCAUUCACCAUAUGGGUUGCUACAAUGAUCCCCAUUUUACAGAUAGAUGAACUGAGGCCCUCGGCAGUGAAGUAACUUGCUAAGAUCAAACCACAGCUGGUAAGCAGUGGAAGCCAAUUCAAACCCUGGUCAGUCCUUUUGGCAAUACCGAGCUGCUUGGGGCUCUCGAGCUCACGGACCCUUAGGGUUCUCCUGAUACACCUCC